RNAcentral lists this unclassified non-coding RNA (411 nucleotides) under Hevea brasiliensis (rubber tree). The record is from RNAcentral. Lineage: Eukaryota; Viridiplantae; Streptophyta; Magnoliopsida; Malpighiales; Euphorbiaceae.
GGAGAAGACUGCACCAUGGCUAUCAGUGCCUCAAUUUGGAGACUGGGAUCAAAAGGGUGUGAUGCCAGACUACUCUAUGGAUUUCUCAAAGAUAAGAGAGAAUAGGAAACAGAACAAAUCAAGAGCCAGUCUUGGAAAUGAGGAAGAACUUAUUUCCACAGCUAAUAGCAAGUCAAAUACAGUUCACUCAGCCCGCAGUGAUGAUCUCCAAUUCCAUCAAACUCACCCAUCAACAACGAGGAGAAGCAUUUUCAGCUACUUCAAUUGCUGUGUGAAAGCUUGAAGCUGAUUGGGAUUGAUUUUUGUGUAUUUUUCUAACUUUGCUGUAAUGAUAAUGUUUCAAGGUGACUUUAUGGUAACUCAUCUAAGAAAUAGCAACUUAUUCUGGCUUAUGAAGAUUGUGAAUUCUUU